RNAcentral lists this ribosomal RNA (67 nucleotides) under Amauroderma schomburgkii. RNAcentral's name for it is "partial 28S ribosomal RNA". Lineage: Eukaryota; Fungi; Basidiomycota; Agaricomycetes; Polyporales; Polyporaceae. The record is from RNAcentral.
GCUGCACUUACAUGACAUCUGACCUCAGAUCANGUANGACUACCCGCUGAACUUAAGCAUAUCAUAG